AGAGGACAGAGUCACUGUGAGGACAACACUGCGGGGAGGAAGGGGACAGGCAGAGGACGCGCGUGCGUGCGUGCGUCAGGCCGGAGCCCAGAGCUUCGACGGAGGGUUCGCUCAGUACGCGACGCUCCUGAGCUGCAGCCACGCUCAUUUUGGCGCUACCGUGAAACCUCCCGGCUGUUUACGGAGCCACUCUCUCCCGAACUUCACCAGGAGUUGAUCCUCUGCAGCAAAAUGGGGCUCUCACAAAACCUUGACAGAUGUGUCAGAACAGCGACGGCAUGGAUACAACUUCUGUGGCCCAGAGCGGGAACAAUGUAGGAUGAGAGGGGAGAAAGAAGACAUACAAACCGGGGGAGAGGGAAAAAAAAAGUUUGCGGUCGCAGAGUUGUCAAUAGAACAAUAUUCAGCCGAGUUCUUGAG
Betta splendens (Siamese fighting fish) is the source of this 420-nucleotide long non-coding RNA. RefSeq lists it as uncharacterized. Lineage: Eukaryota; Metazoa; Chordata; Actinopteri; Anabantiformes; Osphronemidae. The transcript is spliced from 3 exons. The record is from RefSeq and is a predicted model, not a curated record.